AUUGAACGCUGGCGGCAGGCCUAACACAUGCGAGUCGAGCGGAUGAAGGGAGCUUGCUCCUGGAUUCAGCGGCGGACGGGUGAGUAAUGCCUAGGAAUCUGCCUGGUAGUGGGGGAUAACGUCCGGAAACGGGCGCUAAUACCGCAUACGUCCUGAGGGAGAAAGUGGGGGAUCUUCGGACCUCACGCUAUCAGAUGAGCCUAGGUCGGAUUAGCUAGUUGGUGGGGUAAAGGCCUACCAAGGCGACGAUCCGUAACUGGUCUGAGAGGAUGAUCAGUCACACUGGAACUGAGACACGGUCCAGACUCCUACGGGAGGCAGCAGUGGGGAAUAUUGGACAAUGGGCGAAAGCCUGAUCCAGCCAUGCCGCGUGUGUGAAGAAGGUCUUCGGAUUGUAAAGCACUUUAAGUUGGGAGGAAGGGCAGUAAGUUAAUACCUUGCUGUUUUGACGUUACCAACAGAAUAAGCACCGGCUAACUACGUG
This 484-nucleotide ribosomal RNA is filed under the name uncultured bacterium. Its description in RNAcentral is "partial 16S ribosomal RNA". It matches the Rfam family "Bacterial small subunit ribosomal RNA", at positions 30 to 507 of the family's 1533-position model. The record is from RNAcentral.